Molecule: ribosomal RNA, 459 nt
Filed under: uncultured bacterium
Lineage: Bacteria
Description: partial 16S ribosomal RNA
Rfam family: Bacterial small subunit ribosomal RNA
Source: RNAcentral
CCUACGGGUGGCAGCAGUGAGGAAUAUUGGUCAAUGGGCGGAAGCCUGAACCAGCCAAGUAGCGUGCGGGAUGACGGCCCUACGGGUCGUAAACCGCUUUUGCACGGGGAUAACACCCUCCACUUGUGGAGGUCUGCAGGUACCGUGCGAAUAAGGGCCGGCUAAUUCCGUGCCAGCAGCCGCGGUAAUACGGAAGGCCCGAGCGUUAUCCGGAUUCAUUGGGCUUAAAGGGAGCGUAGGCGGGCGUUCAAGUCAGCGGUAAAAUCGGGCGGCUCAACCGAGCCCCGCAGUUGAAACUGGGAGCCUUGAGUACACAACAGGCAGGCGGAAUUCGUGGUGUAGCGGUGAAAUGCAUAGAUAUCACGAGGAACCCCGAUUGCGAAGGCAGCCUGCUGGGGUGCGACUGACGCUGAGGCUCGAAGGUGCGGGUAUCAAACAGGAUUAGAUACCCUAGUAGUC